GCCACCCUAGCUCAGCUGGUAGAGCGACGCAUUCGUAAUGCGUAGGUCGGGGGUUCGAGUCCCCUGGGUGGCU
Molecule: transfer RNA, 73 nt
Filed under: Phaeodactylibacter sp.
Lineage: Bacteria; Pseudomonadati; Bacteroidota; Saprospiria; Saprospirales; Haliscomenobacteraceae
Description: tRNA-Thr
Rfam family: tRNA
About the family: Transfer RNA (tRNA) molecules are approximately 80 nucleotides in length. Their secondary structure includes four short double-helical elements and three loops (D, anti-codon, and T loops).
Source: RNAcentral